AGAACGAACGCUGGCGGCAUGCCUAAUACAUGCAAGUCGAACGAACUCUUCGGAGUUAGUGGCGCACGGGUGCGUAACGCGUGGGAAUCUGCCCUUGGUUCGGAAUAACAGUUGGAAACGACUGCUAAUACCGGAUGAUGACGAAAGUCCAAAGAUUUAUCGCCAAGGGAUGAGCCCGCGUAGGAUUAGCUAGUUGGUGAGGUAAAGGCUCACCAAGGCGACGAUCCUUAGCUGGUCUGAGAGGAUGAUCAGCCACACUGGGACUGAGACACGGCCCAGACUCCUACGGGAGCAGCAGUAGGAAUAUGACAUGGCGA
RNAcentral lists this ribosomal RNA (317 nucleotides) under uncultured soil bacterium. RNAcentral describes it as "bacterial SSU rRNA". It matches the Rfam family "Bacterial small subunit ribosomal RNA", at positions 26 to 377 of the family's 1533-position model. The record is from RNAcentral.